UUGGGAGUCCUGUGAUCCCUUCUGUAUCUUUUAAGAAGUUAUUUUAUGUCUUAUAAUUGCCUCCAGCAUACUCACCAAUCUUGUCUAAGCUGAGCCUUCGGAUACAGAAGCUGAUUUGGAGGUGAUGGAUCAGAACUCCUUGGUUAAUUGUGAUGGUUGAGCUUCACAAUCAGCUUGACUGCGUCUGAAGCCAUAAAAAACGCAGCUCCGUGGUUCUCAAUGAAUAACAUGAGGGUGGAUUAAAAAGAAAGAACCAGUAUUCUUGAAUCUUUGGUGAACUCCAUUGAAAAAAAUCUUUGUGGAUUUGAACCUGGUCUUCAUGAGAUGCUAAUAGGAGGAAAGGAUUGUGUAUUUUGAAGCAGUCAAGUUCUCCAAAAGUCAUGCCUUGGUACCUGCAGACUUUCUUGGUUUGAUUGCCAAAAAACUGGAAACACCUGGAAAAUUCUCAGAAAUCUGCUGUUUUCAAACCGAAGUCUCUUGUUCCAAUUUCAG
This 492-nucleotide long non-coding RNA is filed under the name Mus spicilegus (steppe mouse). RNAcentral describes it as "lncRNA (ENSMSIG00000010141.1)". The record is from RNAcentral. Lineage: Eukaryota; Metazoa; Chordata; Mammalia; Rodentia; Muridae.